RNAcentral lists this ribosomal RNA (1312 nucleotides) under Protohermes gutianensis. RNAcentral describes it as "16S ribosomal RNA". The stretch from base 1068 to 1227 matches the Rfam family "Archaeal large subunit ribosomal RNA", at positions 2542 to 2701 of the family's 2987-position model. Lineage: Eukaryota; Metazoa; Arthropoda; Insecta; Megaloptera; Corydalidae. The record is from RNAcentral.
AAUAAAAAAUUUAAUAGUUUUUAUUGUUUUAGAAUUAUUUAAUAUAAAUAAAUUUAAUUUUAAAAGUUUUUGUAUUGUUUAAAGAUCAAAUAAUUUUUUUUAUAGGUAAGUAGUAUUGAGAAAGAAAAUUGAGAAAUUUUUUUGUUUAUAAAAAAGUAGUAUUAAUUAUAUGUACCUUUUGUAUCAGGGUUUAUUAAAUAAGAAUAAAAAAUUUUAUGUUCUCGAAUUUAAAGGAGCUAAAUUAGUAUGAAAUUUUUUGUUUUAUAAAGAUUUUAAAUAUUAAUUUAGAAAUGAAAUGUUAUUCGUCUUUAAAGAUAUCUAGUUUUUUAAGAAAUAAAUUUAAUUUAUAUAUUAAUUAAUUAAUUUUUUAAUUUUUAAAUGAAUUAAUAAUUAAUAUAAAUAUAUCAAGGGAUAAGCUUUGAUUUAUGAAAAUUAUAAUUAUAUAAAAUAUUUAUUAGUUGUAGAUUUAGAAAUAGUUAUCAAUAAAAAAUUUGUAUUAAUUUAUAAGUUUAUAAAAAAUAUUUAUUAGAAUUUAAUUAGAAUAUUAAAAUUUAAAUUUUAAUUUUAAAAAUUUAGUAAUAAUGAUAAAAUUAGUAUAAUAAAAUUGUUUAAAUAUAAUUUGUAAAAAGGUUAUUUUAAGGAAUUCGGCAAAAAUAAUGUUCACCUGUUUAACAAAAACAUGUCUUUUAGAAUAUAAUUUAAAGUCUAACCUGCCCACUGAAUUUAUUUGAAGGGCCGCGGUAUUUUGACUGUGCAAAGGUAGCAUAAUCAUUAGUCUUUUAAUUGGAGGCUUGUAUGAAUGGUUGGAUGAAACAUUAACUGUCUCAAUUUAAUAAAAAUAGAAUUUAAUUUUUAAGUUAAAAAGCUUAAAUGUAAUUAGAGGACGAGAAGACCCUAUAGAUCUUUAUAAUUAAUUAUUUAUUAUUAAUUUAGUAAAUUAAUUUUUAUUAAUUGAUUAAUUAUUUUAUUGGGGUGAUAAAUAAAUUUAGUAAACUUUAUUUUAUAAAAACAUUUAUUUAUGAAUAUUUGAUCCAUUAUUAAUGAUUAAAAGAUUAAGUUACCUUAGGGAUAACAGCGUAAUUUUUUUAGAGAGUUCUAAUCGAUAAAAAAGUUUGCGACCUCGAUGUUGAAUUAAAGGUUAAUUUUAGGUGCAGAAGUUUAAAGUUUUGGUCUGUUCGACCAUUAAAUCUUUACAUGAUUUGAGUUCAAACCGGCGUGAGCCAGGUUGGUUUCUAUCCUUAAUAAAAUAAAAUAUUUUAGUACGAAAGGACCAAAUAUUUAAAAAAUUUUUUUGAAUUAGAAUAAUAUUAAU